This 341-nucleotide long non-coding RNA is filed under the name Mustela putorius furo (domestic ferret). RNAcentral describes it as "lncRNA (ENSMPUG00000030103.1)". Lineage: Eukaryota; Metazoa; Chordata; Mammalia; Carnivora; Mustelidae. The record is from RNAcentral.
GCCAAGCCUGGGGUUCCUGAAAUUUUCAAGUAUGAUCGAUUAUCUUUUGUGGAUGUGUGGGUUUUGCACUCCCAUCGAUGACCCCAGGUCAUCAGAUUACUGGGUGUGUGGGCCAUGGUACAACAUGGGCAUGGCGAGAUUGCUUACAAGAAAUACAGAAUCUUCGGCAUCACCCCAGGCCUGCUGCAUCAGAAUUCACCUUUUAAUGAAGACAGCAGGUGAUCGAUUCAUACUCAUGUUGAAGUUUGAGAAGCACUCUAAGAACAGUGGUUGACCAAGUGCGGUGCCUGGACCAGCGGCACCAACAGCACCUGAGAACUUGUGAGUAAUGUGAAUUCCUG